Molecule: ribosomal RNA, 257 nt
Filed under: uncultured bacterium
Lineage: Bacteria
Description: partial small subunit ribosomal RNA
Rfam family: Bacterial small subunit ribosomal RNA
Source: RNAcentral
AGGACGAACGCUGGCGGCGUGCUUAACACAUGCAAGUCGAGCGGUGAUCCUCCUUCGGGAGGUGAUCAGCGGCGAACGGGUGAGUAACACGUGGGCAACCUGCCCUCACGACUGGGAUAACCUCGGGAAACCGGGCUAAUACCGGUAUACGACCUCGAGCGGCAUCUCUUGAGGUGGAAAGCUCCGACGGUGAGGGAUGGGCCCGCGGCCUAUCAGCUUGUUGGUGGGGUAAUGGCCUACCAGGGCGACGACGGGUA